Molecule: ribosomal RNA, 254 nt
Filed under: uncultured bacterium
Lineage: Bacteria
Description: partial 16S ribosomal RNA
Rfam family: Bacterial small subunit ribosomal RNA
Source: RNAcentral
CACGUAGGGGCCAAGCGUUGUCCGGAUUCAUUGGGCGUAAAGAGCUCGUAGGCGGUUCAGUUAGUCGGGUGUGAAAUCUCCGGGCUCAACCCGGAGGGGCCACCCGAUACUGCUGUGACUCGAGUCCGGUAGGGGAGUGGGGAAUUCCUGGUGUAGCGGUGAAAUGCGCAGAUAUCAGGAAGAACACCCGUGGCGAAAGCGGCUCUCUGGAACGGUACUGACGCUGAGACGCGAAAGCGUGGGGAGCGAACAGG